CCCUUAGAUGUUCUGGGCCGCACGCGCGCUACACUGAAGGGAUCAGCGUGUUUUCCCUUCCCGAGAGGGACGGGUAACCCGCUGAACCCCCUUCGUGGUAGGGAUCGGAGCUUGCAAUUGUUCUCCGUGAACCAGGAAUUCCCAGUAAGCGCAAGUCAUAAGCUUGCGUUGAUUACGUCCCUGCCCUUUGUACACACCGCCCGUCGCUACUACCGAUUGAACGUCUUAGUGAGGUAUUUGGACUGGGCCUUGGGAGGUUUCGGCCUCCCUUGUUGCUCGGAAAGACUCCCAAACUUGAGCGUUUAGAGGAAGUAAAAGUCGUAACA
This 326-nucleotide ribosomal RNA is filed under the name uncultured eukaryote. RNAcentral describes it as "partial 18S ribosomal RNA". It matches the Rfam family "Eukaryotic small subunit ribosomal RNA", at positions 1470 to 1796 of the family's 1831-position model. The record is from RNAcentral.